AGAAGGGAACGGCUUCGGUCGGACCCGGAGAGUGGCGAACGGGCGAGUAACAUGUGAGUGACCUGCCCCGAGCAGGGGGAUAACCAUGGGAAACGAUGGCUAAUACCCCGUAGUCCUGGCCGUAUUGGAAACGGUUAGGUAUAGCUCCGGCGGCUCGGGAGGGGCUCGCAGUUGAUUAGCUUGUUGGUAGGGUAACGGCCUACCAAGGCGACGAUCAAUAGCUGGUCUGAGAGGACGAUCAGCCACACUGGGACUGAGACACGGCCCAGACUCCUACGGGGGGCAGCAGCAAGGAAUAUUGGACAAUGGGCGCAAGCCUGAUCCAGCAACGCCGCGUGGAGGAUGACAGCCCUUGGGUUGUAAACUCCUUUUGUGCGGGAUGAGACAAGGACAGUACCGUACGAAUAAGUCACGGCUAACUAGGUGCCAGCAGCCGCGGUAACACCUAGGUGACAAGCGUUAUCCGGAUUUACUGGGCGUAAAGGGCUCGAAGGCGGCCGUUCAAGUCUGACGUGAAAUCUCCCGGCUUAACUGGGAGGGGUCGUUGGAUACUGUAUGGCUAGAGGCAGUGAGAGGAGUGUGGAAUUCUCGGUGGAGUGGUGGAAUACGUAGAUAUCGAGAGGAACACCAGUGGCGAAAGCGGCACUCUGGCACUGACCUGACGUUCAUGAGCGAAAGCGUGGGGAGCGAACGGGAUUAGAUACCCCGGUAGUCCACGCUGUAAACGAUGAGUACUAGGUGUGGGUGGCGUACAGCUAUCCGUGCCGAAGUUAACGCGAUAAGUACUCCGCCUGGGGACUACGGCCGCAAGGCUAAAACUCAAAGGAAUUGACGGGGACCCGCACAAGCAGCGGAGCGUGUGGUUUAAUUCGAUGUAACGCGAAGAACCUUACCU
RNAcentral lists this ribosomal RNA (895 nucleotides) under uncultured bacterium. Its description in RNAcentral is "bacterial SSU rRNA". It matches the Rfam family "Bacterial small subunit ribosomal RNA", at positions 69 to 976 of the family's 1533-position model. The record is from RNAcentral.